AGAGCAAAUCGUUCUAUCGCGUUAUGCUUGCAUAAUGAGGAAAGUCCGGCCAGCAAAGAGCAUCUAACCCGGGGAAACGCGGGGUGUAGCAAUGCAACAGCUAGUGCCACAGAAAAUAAACCGCCAGGCCUUUGGCUUGGUAAGGGUGAAAAGGUGAGGUAAGAGCUCACCAGUUAUGACAGUAAUGUUGUAAGCUAGGUAAACCUUUAGAGCUGAAAGAUCAAAUAAACCAAGGAUUGAGGGUUGCUCGCCCAAUCUUGGAGGGUAGAUCGAAAGAGGGUAAAAGUAAUUUUAUUCCCAGAUAAAUGAUAGAAAUCCAAUGAAAAUUGGAUAACAGAAGCCGGCUUAUAGAUUUGUUAUUUUA
This 364-nucleotide RNase P RNA is filed under the name Flavobacteriales bacterium. Its description in RNAcentral is "RNase P RNA component class A". It matches the Rfam family "Bacterial RNase P class A". Rfam says of the family: Ribonuclease P (RNase P) is a ubiquitous endoribonuclease, found in archaea, bacteria and eukarya as well as chloroplasts and mitochondria. Its best characterised activity is the generation of mature 5'-ends of tRNAs by cleaving the 5'-leader elements of precursor-tRNAs. Cellular RNase Ps are ribonucleoproteins. Lineage: Bacteria; Pseudomonadati; Bacteroidota; Flavobacteriia; Flavobacteriales. The record is from RNAcentral.